CCUACCCAUACACUCUGACAAGUGUGGAUGCUGUAUCACAUGUAUAUCAGGAAGUGGCAGAGAGGAGAAAGGCUAAUUCUAUCCUCAAUAUUCUGACCUAUGAAUAUCUAUCUGAAUAACCAGUAGCGUA
RNAcentral lists this small nucleolar RNA (130 nucleotides) under Mus caroli (Ryukyu mouse). RNAcentral's name for it is "predicted gene, 24345 (MGP_CAROLIEiJ_G0036041.1)". It matches the Rfam family "Small nucleolar RNA SNORA17". Rfam says of the family: snoRNA ACA 17 belongs to the H/ACA family of snoRNAs and is predicted to guide pseudouridylation of the 28S rRNA at positions U4659 and U4598. Lineage: Eukaryota; Metazoa; Chordata; Mammalia; Rodentia; Muridae. The record is from RNAcentral.